CUUCUACCACCGGACCCCCCCAUUGUAACCUCUACUCUGUAAUCCUUUUGCGCUACCGCGGGAAAAUAAAAAUCAAUCCUUACAUUCCCGUAAACUUAGCAUACUCAAAAUUUGUUCCGUAAGCAGUUAAUAAGUUAUUGUAACUCUUGUGUUUACCCUAUAAAUUAAGUUCUCUUAUUGGAUGGUAGAUGGCCAAUCAGCGCUCAGUUAACAAAAUCAUCAACCAAUCACAAGAGGAGGAGAAAUCAGCUGAGAGCAACGCAAACAAGAAACGACCAAAUUUCAGUGAGACGGAAGUAUACGCCAUAGUGUGUGAAGUCGUCAAAAGAAAGAAAAUAAUUUUAGUGAAGUUGGACUCGAGAUGUACAAUCAAAUAUAAGAAUCAUGUCUGAUAAGAAGUAGUAAAAGCAGUGAAUGUUGUUGCUCGUAUCCCCCGCAAUGUUGAUGAAGUCAGGUGGAAGUUUUCCGAGUUACGUGUAAGCGUGAAGAAAAGCAGCACAAGAUAAGAAAUAUACUGGUGGAACAGGUGGCUGCCCCAAAUUGAAAAUACAAUUGAAGAAGCAGUUCUUCAACUCUUAGAUCCAGCCUCUAUACAUGAUCAUGGGACAACAGACCACGAGUGAAGCUUCUCACAAUACACAACGGUGUUCCUUCAGGUCAAUUUUAACGUUUUGUGUGAUGGUGUGGGUGUGCGUAGCUUGCUAUGGUGUCAUUUAAUCUUUGGUGAGAGUGUAGCUGGGUGUGGCUUGUUGUGGGGUCAUAUAACGUUUUGCGAGAGGGUGCAUGUGGGAGGGAAUGUCUAGUCAGCUUUAAUAAACCUUGUGUAUAGUGCAUGAAGCAGUGUAGUACAGUACAGUACAGUAUAGUGUAAACUAAUGUGGAGGUAAUGAUUUAGGUAAACAGUUGGGGACAGUUUAAGUACAUGUGAUCUAUUUGCAAGUUAAUUUUCAUUGUACGUAAAUUACAACUUCAAACACGUUGCAGGUAACAGCUGAUGUACGUGAAGGCCAAUGGAGAAGUGACAGAACCUCGAGCAAGAUUUAACUACCAGCAUGUUACUUCAGCCUCAUCAGUUAAGUUACUUGUACAGUAUAUCUUAGCUAAUAUCUUUAUCCAAUAAACCACUCGACAAUGCUCCUACACUGGGCAGUGGAGGGUGUGUGUGUAUCUUGGCUAUUAUGGUCAUCCCAUAAACUACUCAACACCGUGCUUCUACACUCGGCAGUGGAGGGUGUGUGGGGGGCCUGGCUGACAGUGUGAAGGAGGGCUCGUGAGUACUUAGUGGACAGAUUGGUCUUCGAGUAAAUUUAAUAUUAGUUGUAGUGACAGUAUAAAUAUACAGGAGUAGUAUAUAUAGGAUAUAGUAGUGGUAGUAGUAAUAGUAUAGUAGUAAAUACAGCAAGUAAAGCAAGUUGUUGUGGGUGGGUUUCAACUAACUUUACUAACCUAACUUAACCAGCCUAAGUUAAUUAAACAUAAUAACGUAGAGUGAACCAAAUCCGUAAUAAGGUCACCGCUUGAACUCCUCUCAUAUUUGCUUCAUUAUCGUAAGAUUGACCUCCACAAUCCUCAAAAGAAAUGUUCAGUUGUUUGUCUUCCGAGUAGAAGUCAUGACAAAUUUAGCCCUGUAGACUUCUCUACCUCAAGGAACCCUAAGAAAUGCUCCUUUAUUGAUGACUUGUCUUCAAGAAAGUUGCUCAAAUCAGGGGUAUUUCGAUGCUUUGAUAUCGUCCACGAUUCUUUCAGUAAUUUUUGCACUGAUAAUGUUAAUCAGUUCAUUUUGGAUCAUUUUGGACCAUUGGAUUGACAGUUAAAUUUUUCAGCUGACCCUCUAGAGCCAAAUUGAUUUCAGCUAGAGACUGAAUAAUCGCCAUUAGUCUAGUGAGGACUUGGCGCCACCUGUUCCACUCAGCCAUUAACAUUUCCAUUUCCCGUCUGUCUAUCGUCCUUCCACUUGCAAUGUUGACCUCCAGUUCCUUCUAUGUUGUCAUGUUUUUUAGUGUGUUCUAUGUUACUUUCAUGUGUGCUGAGCAAAUGACUAGUUCUCAGUUGGAGUCAAUUUGUUACCAUUGAAUUUAUUGAGAUAACACAAGUUUGGUGUUAAAUUUUUCAGUGUUGUAUUUUUCAACCUGUUUUUUUUUUAACGGAGAAUUUUAUUACAUAGCGCCUUACCAUUUCUUACAGUGUAGACUGAUAUGCAUUGUUGGUAAAGAGGUUAUAUGUAUUUGAGAACUAAUUCCGGUGUAUUUUCAGCCAUAGUAUUGAGUGGGUUGAGGACUCUGUGGUGAAAUGGACAUCUAAGACAUACAAUCUCUGAAAAUGAAUUGCUGGAAGCACCCUCUGUACAUGUAAGGACCACCAAUUGUGAGUAAAGCACAGAGUAAAUUGUGUAGUGUUAACACAGUGUCAAGAUAAUUGAAAAAGACAGUGAAUUCUUGUGAGUACAGAAAAUCCGCUUUGUGUUAAUCAUCCGUGAAAGCUACAGAGUUAUAUUUUCUUGAGACAUUCUCGUCAAGUAUCAUCAAGUAUUUUAUUUUGAGCAUUGCUAUGAGUACUUUGUGAAUUGAAAGUUUGUAUUGUCCUCUUUAGAGAUACUUAAUUUUCUGAGUGAGUCACCGAUACUACUGCCGAUUAUUUAUUUUGGUGAGUAUCCAUUUAAGAAGUAUCCGAGGCAUUUAUGUGUCAAUGUUUACCCCCUUUGCUCUGGAAGGGUGUUAAUUGAAUUUAUCUUUGGUGGGGUUGUUUUGUAGAAGAUUUGUUGUGACAUCAGCGCACGAUGAUCACAGUAGUUGUGAAUAAGUUACAACUUAUGUGUGAAUUCCGAGAACUUGCCAAAGCCAUGGAGGCCAGCAUUCAUCGGCGGGGAACGCCGAAGGCUCGGAGGGGUAGUGAGAAAAUCAAGUUUAGAGAUUUUCUAUCGGGAUCAGAACCAGAGGAAAGAGAAAGGUUGGCCAGUCCCGGGAACCCAGGGGGAGCUCCUUCGGCUAGGAAACCAAAUAAGUAAGACAGUUUUUAUUUAUAUUUUUCUCUUGAAGGUGGCGGCCCCAAAUUGAAAAUACAUACACUGCAAUUGAAGAAGCAGUUCUUCAACUCUUAGAUCCAGCCUCUAUACAUGGGAUUCCAGGGAUUUUGGAAAGUGAAGAACUUAUUGAUGGUAAUUCACUCAACAUACUUUUCCAACCCUCUGGCUUAUGCUUCCCUAAGUUAGAUAUUGGCUUAGGUAAUGACUUUCAGAGGGGAACCUUUUCUGGAAAAUUAUUAGAAAAGAUUCCCAGAUAACAGAUAAAAAUCCGGAGAUGGGGGAUAUUUCUCUGGGUUCGAGAGUUGAUCUAAUUGGCAAUUUCAGGAGCUACCGAAAACAUUUUUCUAUUACCAUAAACAUUCUGGGGAUGAGGAAUUUUUUCUGGAUAAUCGUCUUGUUACCCAGAAAACUCUCAUUCACGUAAGUGCUCACAGUAUUUGGUGUUUUGCCCCCAAUAGAAUUUGCGUUAACCCCUGGCCUAAUGUUGCCCUGUGACAAGACACACAAGCUAGACUAAGAUAACCUUAUUCUGGGUCACUUCAAAUAAAUUUGUUAUUGAUGGCAUAGCCUUGCCUAACCUAAAUGACAAAUAAUUUCUCUUAAAUUACUGAUUUAGCCUAGAUCAUGGUGUUUUCCUUUCGAUGUCUGGGUAAUUGGGUUCAUAAAAAAACAAAAAAAAAUUAAAUCCUGAAACUAUAUCACAUUAGCCUUAAAGUUUCUAGAAUUAAUACUCACUGACGGCCUGACACUCACCAAUAUUGCCAUGUACUGUACACACUUUCUCUAACAUAACAUAACAUAAUCUAACCUAUGUAAUUAUUCUUCAUGUUCUAACUAAUUUAACUUGGCCCCAAGUUUAAACAUUUAUUUGGCUAAGACUGAAAAAGCUUAAUCAAGUUAAUUGCAAUCCAUAUUUUACACCUAAUAUCAUUGAAUUUGGGCUAGCCUAUGGACAUGUCAUGUUAUCAUAAGCCAUAUAUGUAAGAAAAUAGGCGAAGGCUAUUGGUUGAAUAUUAAAAAAACAAGGCGAACAAUACAAACCUUCUGUUUUGGUAAAAAAUACUUGAAAAGUUUGUAAGAAAAUAAACUGCGACAAAUACAAACACUCAAGCCUCUUAUAUUUGUUUUGAGUAUACCAUCUGUGUUUACUGAUCUGAGACUGUAAGUCCAGUUACGGGGUAUAAUCGGAUACUACUUGUCUUAGGCUCCACCCACCAGGGACUGCCAUACUAUAGUUGAGUGUUACUGAAAUUAUUCAAUAAAUGUAACUUCAUUUUAAUAAACCAUUUUAUAAUUUUAAUAAACUAUUUUAUUUGUA
Molecule: long non-coding RNA, 4340 nt
Organism: Homarus americanus (American lobster)
Lineage: Eukaryota; Metazoa; Arthropoda; Malacostraca; Decapoda; Nephropidae
Exons: 3
Source: RefSeq, a predicted model, not a curated record